RNAcentral lists this unclassified non-coding RNA (213 nucleotides) under Hevea brasiliensis (rubber tree). Lineage: Eukaryota; Viridiplantae; Streptophyta; Magnoliopsida; Malpighiales; Euphorbiaceae. The record is from RNAcentral.
GGAAUCUUUGUUGUUACUGGAAAAAAUAAAUAAGGAAAAAUGUAUUCAGUAGAAAUUGAUCCCUGAACCUCCCAGUAAAAAAGUUUUGAUUCUAUAUAUUGUUCUUGUUCCUAUUCCUAUUCUAACACUAUUAAGUGUGUGUGUAAACACCACUCACAAGUAUCACCUAAUUGAAGCUUCAAAAGCUAUCUCCACCAAUCUGGCACUUUAAGC